Cebus imitator (Panamanian white-faced capuchin) is the source of this 1332-nucleotide long non-coding RNA. RefSeq lists it as uncharacterized. Lineage: Eukaryota; Metazoa; Chordata; Mammalia; Primates; Cebidae. The record is from RefSeq and is a predicted model, not a curated record. The transcript has 2 exons.
CCCUCCUGCCUUGGCCUCCCAGAGUGUUGGGAUUACAGGCAUGCGCCAUUGCACCCAGCCCUAUCUUGCAUCUUGAGUGGACUUUUUACCCAGGUCUCAUAGCGUUACACCAUGCCAUUAGUCAUUUGGGCAACAUGGUUUCCCGAAUUGUGCAGAUCUUCCAAAUGUGGGCACAUUUUGUGUGACAAUAGUUUUUAAAAUCUGCAUUUGUGAUCUCUCAGGGAGGUCUGAGAGCAUCAGGACUGUCAGGCUUACCGUGGCAAGUGCAAGUUUUUCAAAAUUCUGACUUUUGCUUAAAGUCUCAGAUGGCAUCAUUGGCAGCAAAUACUCGUGUUGUUGUCUUUGAAGUUACAAGCUUAUUCAUUUUGAAGCAAAUGUCUACUAAAUAGCCAACACUGAAUGACUAGCUUCCCCAGCGCCCUUUCAAGUGAAAAAGGCGUUCUGGGAAAACAGCAGCUACUUGAGCUCACAGCAUGGAGUACGGCCCAUGUGCUUUCCUGAGCCAGCUGUCAUUCUGCAGCAGAGACACAGAGGAUGUCAAGAACACCAGUACUCUAGCAUGGAAAUAACUCAAAUGUCCUUCAGCUCAAGAGCGGUUAAACAAACUGGCACAUCUGAUUCCUCCUCAGCAGUGAAACAAGGGACUGUUGACACAUGCAGUGCCGUGGUUGGAUCUCAAGGGAAAACACCAAUCCUAUAAAGUGGUGUACUGUGUGAUUUCAUUUCUAAAUGACAUCCCCAAAACGCCAGCCUCAGAAGGAGAAGUGGUGCACGGGCCAGCGGGAGGCUGCAGGCGACCAUCCUUUGUGGUGAUGAGAAUUCUGGGCCAGAUACACAUGACAGAUGCCACAGAAUUAGACCCAAAGAGUGCCUGUAAAAGCUGCCGAAAUCCAGUGAGGUCGGCCGCCUGGUUCACUCUGCGCCGAAAUCCAGUGAGGUCGGCCGCCUGGUUCACUCGGCGCCGAAAUCCAGUGAGGUCGGCCACCUGGUUCACUCGGCGCCGAAAUCCAGUAAGCUUCGCGGCCUGGUUCACUGGGCGCCGAAAUCCAGUAAGCUUCGCGGCCUGGUUCACUGGGCGCCGAAAUCCAGUGAGCUUCGUGGCCUGGUUCACUCUGCGCUGAAAUCCAGUGAGCUCGGUGGCCUGGUUCACUGUGUGGCACCAGUGUCAGCUUCCUGUGUUAUGUGAGAUAGCACAGUUGGGUGAAGCUGGUGAUGAAGGUGUGUGACCUCUCUACUAUUUUUGCGACUUCUUAUGAGUCUAUAAACAUUUGUCAAUUGGAAAAAAGUGUGCUCAGGAGCUGAAUUGAAUAAAAUUAGCAAUUUUCAUUGUGU